UACGUAGGGUGCAAGCGUUAAUCGGAAUUACUGGGCGUAAAGCGUGCGCAGGCGGCUUUGCAAGACAGAUGUGAAAUCCCCGGGCUUAACCUGGGAACUGCAUUUGUGACUGCAUGGCUGGAGUGCGGCAGAGGGGGAUGGAAUUCCGCGUGUAGCAGUGAAAUACGUAGAUAUGCGGAGGAACACCGAUGGCGAAGGCAAUCCCCUGGGCCUGCACUGACGCUCAUGCACGAAAGCGUGGGGAGCAAACAGG
RNAcentral lists this ribosomal RNA (253 nucleotides) under uncultured bacterium. RNAcentral's name for it is "partial 16S ribosomal RNA". It matches the Rfam family "Bacterial small subunit ribosomal RNA", at positions 524 to 776 of the family's 1533-position model. The record is from RNAcentral.